AGAUUGAACGCUGGCGGCAGGCCUAACACAUGCAAGUCGAGCGGCGGCACGGGUACUUGUACCUGGUGGCGAGCGGCGGACGGGUGAGUAAUGCCUAGGAAUCUGCCUGAUAGUGGGGGAUAACGUUCGGAAACGGACGCUAAUACCGCAUACGUCCUACGGGAGAAAGUGGGGGAUCUUCGGACCUCACGCUAUCAGAUGAGCCUAGGUCGGAUUAGCUAGUUGGUAGGGUAAAGGCCUACCAAGGCUACGAUCCGUAACUGGUCUGAGAGGAUGAUCAGUCACACUGGAACUGAGACACGGUCCAGACCCCUACGGGAGGCAGCAGUGGGGAAUAUUGGACAAUGGGCGAAAGCCUGAUCCAGCCAUGCCGCGUGUGUGAAGAAGGUCUUCGGAUUGUAAAGCACUUUAAGUUGGAGAAGGCAUUAACCUAAUACGUUAGUGUUUGACGUUACCGACAGAAUAAGCACCGGCUAACUCUGUGCCAGCAGCCGCGGUAAUC
Molecule: ribosomal RNA, 502 nt
Filed under: uncultured soil bacterium
Lineage: Bacteria
Description: bacterial SSU rRNA
Rfam family: Bacterial small subunit ribosomal RNA
Source: RNAcentral